GCUGUGAUGGCAUAACAGGGUGGUAAGCUUGAUAGAUGCAUAGUUUGAAGAGCUAUUGAAGAGUGAUUGGCACAUGAGGAGGAAAGUCCUGUUAGGAAGAAGGACAGGGCACCAGAAGUGCUGACAAAUUUACUGAACUGAAUGCCCCGGGAGAGAAGAGAACAGUGGUCUGAAUGCUGCCCCUGUCUACCAACCUGAGCAAGAACACAUCUUGGCUGGGACACAGAGGGACCAGUGGAGAGAGGGAGCACCUCACGAACCCACAGAUGAAAAAAUCAUGAGUUCCUGGAUCCCAAGACUGUAGAUACUGAAAAG
Heterocephalus glaber (naked mole-rat) is the source of this 315-nucleotide non-coding RNA. NCBI's taxonomy places the organism in Eukaryota, Metazoa, Chordata, Mammalia, Rodentia, Bathyergidae. The record is from RefSeq and is a predicted model, not a curated record.